This 225-nucleotide ribosomal RNA is filed under the name uncultured bacterium. RNAcentral describes it as "partial 16S ribosomal RNA". It matches the Rfam family "Bacterial small subunit ribosomal RNA", at positions 1 to 257 of the family's 1533-position model. The record is from RNAcentral.
UAGUGAGUUUGAUCCUGGCUCAGGAUGAACGCUGGCGGUCUGCUUAACACAUGCAAGUCGAACGGAGUACUUUCGGGUACUUAGUGGUGGACGGGUGAGUAACGCGUGAGAAUCUGCCCAUAGGAUAGGGACAACAGUUGGAAACGACUGCUAAUACCUGAUGUGCCGAGAGGUGAAACUUUUAUGCUGUGGAUGAGCUCGCGUCUGAUUAGCUAGUUGGUGGGG